Tetranychus urticae (two-spotted spider mite) is the source of this 1350-nucleotide non-coding RNA. Lineage: Eukaryota; Metazoa; Arthropoda; Arachnida; Trombidiformes; Tetranychidae. The record is from RefSeq and is a predicted model, not a curated record.
CUCUCACAGUUAAUUAUAACGAUAAUUAAAUAUUGCAUGAGAGAUGUUAAAUUAUCUCCUUGUCAAUAUACAAUGUAAUUAUAAAAUACUGAAGAAAGUCACCAAGAAAUCAAACAAAAAAUCCAACACAAUUGAGAUGUAAUAUCUUGUGUUUUUUGGUAAUAACGUCCGUCAAGUGCAAAUUACUCUUAAUAGCUGAAAUGUUGACUGGAGAGAAGAACAAUGUUAAUUUUAAUGGAACAAUUGAAAAAUUAAUGAACUGAUUCAUUUGAUUUCAUCUGGAACAAAUAGUUAUUCAAUUAUCAAGCUUCAUAUGUGUUAGGAAUACAAACCCAACAAGUUGAGAUGUUUACAAGCUUUCCAUUUUUUUUCGUUGGACCAGUUGAUUAUAAUAGAGUUUAGUUAACUAUUGUACUGAUUCUUCCAAAAUGAUUUACCUGAUUAGAUGUAAAGAGCAGAAGCUAAAUUUCAAAUUUAAACCUUCAGUUGUUCAGGAACAUCAUCUCAAGCUCAUUGCCAAUCAUAUAUUUGAUCGGGACUUAAUUGCUUCACACUUUGUUUCCCCGAGAAGCGAAAAAUUAAUGAAAAGAUGAUCCAAAACAUAACAGCAAAACAAUAAUGAGACUUGGUUUGACUGAAAAAAAAGUCAAUUUAUCAAUUCGUUGCAUUGUUUUCAAGGUCAGAAUGAAUCCAAAGACUGGUUUCCAAUCAUGAUCAUGGUUUAUUAUCUUCAACAAUUACUAUUAACCUCAUUCUCAGGCCUCUCAUCUCAACCAACAACUCUAUCGUCUAACUCUCUCAUUUCCGUUUCAAACUUUUCUAUUUUUGAUUUCUUCUCUUCCCUUUUAGCAUUGUCAGUAAACUACAAUUGAAUCAAAUUUUCAAUUUAGAAAAGGAAAAUUAUCGAAAUUCUCGGCAAGAAUAUCAUGGAAGGAGAAAGUCAACAAGAAAGGAAAGGAAAUCUUAACAAGAAAUAAUCGAAUGAACAGCAAAUUUAUUGUCUUGAAGUCUGUAGAAAAAGAAACCUUCACUUCCAGAAAGAUACUUUUCCAUUAACAUGGUCAUCAUUUCAUCGUUACCUAAAGCAAAACAAGAAACAAAUUGUCUUAUCAAACGCAGUAAACAUCAACAGCAAUCAUAUUCAACACUUUCAUAAUUAAGAUGAAAUACUCACAGCUCUAAGGGAAAUGACAACUUUCACCCGGCAAGACAAACUAAACCAAUUCAAGUCUAUUCAAGUUCAAAAAUCAAGUCAAAUCAAUCAAUUUAGAUGAGAAAAUAAACAAUCAAAAGUUAACUCAUAAAACAGAUAAAUUUAAAUAGGGAAAUAAAUCUGGAAAACCAUUUAAA